UGCGUAGGCGGUUUGUUAAGUCUGUUGUGAAAUCCCCGGGCUCAACCUGGGAAUGGCAAUGGAUACUGGCAAGCUAGAGUGUGUCAGAGGAUGGUGGAAUUCCCGGUGUAGCGGUGAAAUGCGUAGAGAUCGGGAGGAACAUCAGUGGCGAAGGCGGCCAUCUGGGACAACACUGACGCUGAAGCACGAAAGCGCGGGAGCAAACA
RNAcentral lists this ribosomal RNA (206 nucleotides) under uncultured bacterium. Its description in RNAcentral is "partial 16S ribosomal RNA". It matches the Rfam family "Bacterial small subunit ribosomal RNA", at positions 568 to 774 of the family's 1533-position model. The record is from RNAcentral.